Molecule: ribosomal RNA, 253 nt
Filed under: uncultured bacterium
Lineage: Bacteria
Description: partial 16S ribosomal RNA
Rfam family: Bacterial small subunit ribosomal RNA
Source: RNAcentral
UACAGAGGUCCCAAGCGUUGUUCGGAUUCACUGGGCGUAAAGGGUGCGUAGGCGGUCAGGUAAGUCUGAAGUGAAAGCUCCAUGCUCAACUUGGAAAAUGCUUCAGAUACUAUCUGACUAGAGAGCCGGAGAGGAGGCUGGAAUUCUCGGUGUAGCAGUGAAAUGCGUAGAUAUCGAGAGGAACACCAGUGGCGAAAGCGAGUCUCUGGACGGCAUCUGACGCUGAGGCACGAAAGCCAAGGUAGCAAACGGG